This 466-nucleotide ribosomal RNA is filed under the name uncultured bacterium. Its description in RNAcentral is "partial 16S ribosomal RNA". It matches the Rfam family "Bacterial small subunit ribosomal RNA", at positions 28 to 507 of the family's 1533-position model. The record is from RNAcentral.
GACGAACGCUGGCGGCGUGCUUAACACAUGCAAGUCGAACGGAAAGGCCCUGCUUGCCGGGUCCUCGAGUGGCGAACGGAUGAGUAACACUUGUUUGAUCUGCCCUGCACUUCGGGAUAAGCUGGGGAAACUGGGUCUAAUACCGGUUAGGAACCAUCUUUAGUAUGUCGUUUGGCUAGCUUUUUCGGUGUCUGAUGUGCUCGCGGCCUAUCACCUUGUUGGUGGGGUAAUGGCCUACCAAGGCGGCGACGGGUAGCCGGGCUGAGGGGGAGUACGGCAACAUUGGUACUGAGAUACGGCCCAGACUCCUACGGUAGGCAGCAGUGGCGAAUAUUGCACAAUGGGCGCAAGCCUGAUGCAGCGGCGCCGCGUGGGGGAUGAAGGCCUUCGGGUUGUAAACUCCUUUCUCUAGGGACGAAGCUUUGUUGUGACGGUACCUAGAUAAGAAGCACCGGCUAACUACGUG